AUUGAACGCUGGCGGCAUGCCUUACACAUGCAAGUCGAACGGUAACAGGUUAAGCUGACGAGUGGCGAACGGGUGAGUAAUAUAUCGGAACGUGCCCAGUCGUGGGGGAUAACGUAGCGAAAGCUACGCUAAUACCGCAUACGAUCUACGGAUGAAAGCGGGGGAUCGCAAGACCUCGCGCGAUUGGAGCGGCCGAUAUCAGAUUAGGUUGUUGGUGAGGUAAAAGCGCACUAAGCCUGCGAUCUGUAGCUGGUGUGAGAGGACGACCAGCCACACUGGAACUGAGACACGGUCCAGACUCCUACGGGAGGCAGCAGUGGGGAAUUUUGGACAAUGGACGCAAGUCUGAUCCAGCAAUGCCGCGUGCAGGACGAAGGCCUUCGGGUUGUAAACUGCUUUUGUACGGAACGAAACGGUGAGCUCUAAUACAGUUUGCUAAUGACGGUACCGUAAGAAUAAGCACCGGCUAACUACGUGCCAGCAGCCGCGGUAA
RNAcentral lists this ribosomal RNA (493 nucleotides) under uncultured bacterium. Its description in RNAcentral is "partial 16S ribosomal RNA". It matches the Rfam family "Bacterial small subunit ribosomal RNA", at positions 30 to 523 of the family's 1533-position model. The record is from RNAcentral.